CGUUGUUCGGAAUUACUGGGCGUAAAGGGCUUGUAGGUGGCCAACUAAGUCAGACGUGAAAUCCCUCGGCUUAACCGGGGAACUGCGUCUGAUACUGGAUGGCUUGAAUCCGGGAGAGGGAUGCAGAAUUCCAGGUGUAGCGGUGAAAUGCGUAGAUAUCUGGAGGAAUACCGGUGGCGAAGGCGGCAUCCUGGACCGGCAUUGACGCUGAGGAGCGAAAGCCAGGGGAGCAAACGGG
This 238-nucleotide ribosomal RNA is filed under the name uncultured bacterium. Its description in RNAcentral is "partial 16S ribosomal RNA". It matches the Rfam family "Bacterial small subunit ribosomal RNA", at positions 539 to 776 of the family's 1533-position model. The record is from RNAcentral.